GGUGUAGCCCAGCGGUAGGGCGCCUGCUUUGGGAGCAGGAGGUCGGGAGUUCGAUUCUCCCCACC
RNAcentral lists this transfer RNA (65 nucleotides) under marine eukaryotic metagenome. It matches the Rfam family "tRNA". From Rfam's summary of the family: Transfer RNA (tRNA) molecules are approximately 80 nucleotides in length. Their secondary structure includes four short double-helical elements and three loops (D, anti-codon, and T loops). Further hydrogen bonds mediate the characteristic L-shaped molecular structure. tRNAs have two regions of fundamental functional importance: the anti-codon, which is responsible for specific mRNA codon recognition, and the 3' end, to which the tRNAs corresponding amino acid is attached (by aminoacyl-tRNA synthetases). tRNAs cope with the degeneracy of the genetic code in two manners: having more than one tRNA (with a specific anti-codon) for a particular amino acid; and 'wobble' base-pairing, i.e. permitting non-standard base-pairing at the 3rd anti-codon position. The record is from RNAcentral.